RNAcentral lists this long non-coding RNA (523 nucleotides) under Homo sapiens (human). RNAcentral's name for it is "HSALNT0388514". The record is from RNAcentral. Lineage: Eukaryota; Metazoa; Chordata; Mammalia; Primates; Hominidae.
UUUUCUUCCUGCACGCAAUGCUAACACAGAAAUCCCUGGCCUGGAACAAAAUGCCUCUCCCAGGCCAAUGCAGCCUACCUACCUUACAGGUGGCACAGGCCUGGGCAACCCGCCCCCCACCCCCAUCCCUUCCAGCGCACAGAAACCCUGCAAAAGUUUGAAAACGCAGGUUCCAAGAGGCCCCCGUAGCCCGAGGUCAGCUCGGUGGUCCGGCUCCAGCUGUGCCCGGCGACAGCCAAGAUGGCCCUGAGCGGGGCCCACUGCGGCGGCGGGGCCGAGGGGCGCCGGCCGGGGCCGCUGUCUUCGCCGCCUACCUGAGCGGCGUCAGGGACCAGGGGGCAGGCCCGACGCCCCUCCCGCUCCGCCGCAGCCCCGAGCCGGCGCGUUCCCGGAAACGGGGGCCGGGCGGGCGCCAGGUAUGUGAAGGAAAGCUAAGAUAAUUCAGUGGAUUCUUCACUGGGAAAAAGGCCAGAUUCCAGUUUAUAAACGGAGGCUUGCUGUUGCCAGGCUGGAAUGCAAUGAC